GAUGAACGCUGGCGGCGUGCCUAAUACAUGCAAGUCGAACGCUGAAGGAGGAGCUUGCUCUUCUGGAUGAGUUGCGAACGGGUGAGUAACGCGUAGGUAACCUGCCUGGUAGCGGGGGAUAACUAUUGGAAACGAUAGCUAAUACCGCAUGACAACAGUUAUUGCAUGAUAACUGUUUAAAAGGGGCAACUGCUCCACUACCAGAUGGACCUGCGUUGUAUUAGCUAGUUGGUGAGGUAACGGCUCACCAAGGCGACGAUACAUAGCCGACCUGAGAGGGGGAUCGGACAAACUGGGAGUGAGACACGGCCCAGACUCCUACGGGAGGCAGCAGUAGGGAAUCUUCGGCAAUGGACGGAAGACUGACAGAGAAACGCCGCGUGAGUGAAGAAGGUUUUCGGAUCGUAAAGCUCUGUUGUAAGAGAAGAACGAGUGUGAGAGUGGAAAGUUCACACUGUGACGGUAUCUUACCAGAAAGAGACGGCUAACUACGUG
RNAcentral lists this ribosomal RNA (495 nucleotides) under uncultured bacterium. RNAcentral describes it as "partial 16S ribosomal RNA". It matches the Rfam family "Bacterial small subunit ribosomal RNA", at positions 28 to 507 of the family's 1533-position model. The record is from RNAcentral.